RNAcentral lists this ribosomal RNA (253 nucleotides) under uncultured bacterium. RNAcentral's name for it is "partial 16S ribosomal RNA". It matches the Rfam family "Bacterial small subunit ribosomal RNA", at positions 524 to 776 of the family's 1533-position model. The record is from RNAcentral.
UACGUAGGGGGCGAGCGUUGUCCGGAAUUACUGGGCGUAAAGAGAGCGUAGGCGGCACUACAAGUCACAUGUGAAAUACCCGGGCUUAACUUGGGGGUUGCAUGGGAAACUGUAGAGCUUGAGUACAGGAGAGGCAAGCGGAAUUCCUAGUGUAGCGGUGAAAUGCAUAGAUAUUAGGAGGAACACCAGUGGCGAAGGCGGCUUGCUGGACUGAAACUGACGCUGAGGCUCGAAAGCGUGGGGAGCAAACAGG